AGCAGGAUGGCGCAGUUGGGAGCGCAUUGGGCUGUUAACCCAAAGGUCCGUGGAUCAAAACCACGUCCUGCUA
Schistocerca americana (American grasshopper) is the source of this 73-nucleotide non-coding RNA. NCBI's taxonomy places the organism in Eukaryota, Metazoa, Arthropoda, Insecta, Orthoptera, Acrididae. The record is from the annotation of a RefSeq genome assembly.